Molecule: non-coding RNA, 5589 nt
Organism: Rattus norvegicus (Norway rat)
Lineage: Eukaryota; Metazoa; Chordata; Mammalia; Rodentia; Muridae
Source: RefSeq, a predicted model, not a curated record
GUUCAGUGAGAGGGAAAUUUUAAUCUAGGCAGGGUAACCAGGAAGAUGGGGCUCCCUCUCCUGCCAGCUCCUAAUCUAAAAUUAAGGUUUUACUCUAGGAGGAGGCAAGUGGCAGGCAUCUCCUGGGGCUAUUCCCCACUCUUCCAGAGGCAAGAGAUAGGACUGGAGCUCCCUUCCAAAGCACGGGUCUCACUUCUGGAUUAGAAGCCCAGCUCACGCAGAGAAGGCCAAGAGUGUUGGGUUCCAAAUGCUUCUACUGGACACGUUCCGAGGAUCGACACCAGGAGAAGCACAGUGGAAAGACCAGAGGCUACUGUGUACAUUUCAGCGUCCCACUUACGUGCCAAGGCAGCUACCACCAUCCAUGGCGUCUUUGUCUACACUGGCCAGACUGGCGUCAAGAUUUCAAUGCCUGUUAGAAGCUACAGACUUGGAAUAUGAUGCUCAAGCCCAUGUCCACGUGCAAAUGAUGAGACUUGGAGGGAUAACGCCUUCAGGGUCUUCUUCAGUUCAUGGAUUAGCAGAAAACCCUGGAGACCGAGGAGGAGAAGGAAGGGGCAAGGUACAGUGUGCACAUUAUUGUUACACAUAGGAAGUUCUUCAAAGAGAUGGUAUGUGAGAAAAUGGAUGUAAAACCUGAGAUGGCUCAGUGGUUAAGAACACUGACUGUUCUUCCAGAGGUCCUGAGUUCAAUUCCCAGCAAUCACAUGGUGGCUCACAACCAUAAGAUCUGAUGCCCUCUUCUGGUGUGUCUGAAGACAGCAACAGUGUACUUAUAUAUAAUAAAUAAACAAAAUCUAAAACAAAAAACAAAAACCUUUCAGCUGUUAAAAAAAUAGAUAUCUAAAUCAAGGUGGCCUGAGGUGUCUCAAUGCCAGGGUGUGUGAACUGUGUCUCUCGGUCAAAGUCUUCUCUGGCCUAUUCUGCGCAUCCUCCAUCGGGUUUUGAACAGCCCUGGCAUAGACGGAUGCUGGCAAGCAUGUGACCACAGUAGCAUCUGUAGACCUGAAACCCAUCACCAUUAACGAAGUUCCUACUGACACCUACUGCCAGCUCUUCUCUGUAGACUGUCUCACAGGCAGUGGGAUGCUGCUGACACACACAUGGGCACUCUACCACGGGCAGGAAGACCACAGUCUUCAUGUCAGAGCCCCGUGCAGGCCUUCAGGGCAUCUUCACUUUCUGCAGCUUUGGUGAGGGAAGAGCUUUGGUGAGGGAGGUUUUACCACCUGGGUGACAGAAUGUCUGUUGAUCACAGUAGGUCCAAGAUGGAGUUCUCCACUUAGCCUGCCCCCCAUGCUUUCACAGUUCUGGAUGAUCCUUAAAACUCCAUCCUCACCACCCACACCUCCCUAGAGCACUCUGGUUGUCCCUCCGUGGUAGAUGGUAGGCCACCUACGACGUCUCUCAUAGAAGUCACAAUACUAAGAAAUCAGUCUACACUGACUCUCGUUACCCCCUUUUCUGGAUCGUAGCUUCUAUAGACGCUUCUCUUGGUUUGACAGAACCUGACAGAAUUCCAGAUCAACCUGGUGCCCUCCUUUUCACCGUCUUCCCUCUGGCCAUGCCUCUGUCAUCUCUGCUGAGAACAUGAACACGUUCAUGUAGCAGAGAUCACUAAUCCUUGCCUUGAGACAGCCAACCGGAUGGUGAAAUGCGACCUUUACUGUGACAAACACCUGGCCUACUGCCUGUUGUGUCCUGGUGACACGGCUCUCAAAGAUGCCAAAGCUGCCAUCGUCAUCGGCUCCAAACAAAACAUCCAGUGUGAACUGGUAUCCCCCUGGCUUCCGGCUUGCUUUAUUCUUUUAAAGAAUCAUUUAUUUAUUUCACAUAUAUGUAUACACUGCAGCUGUCUUCAGACACACCAGAAGAGGGCAUCGGAUCCCAUUACGGAUGGCUGUGAGACACCAUGUGGUUGCUGGGAACUCAGGACCUCUGCAAGAGCUGUCAGUGCCCUUAACCUCUGAGCCAUCUCUCCAGCCCACCUCCCAGGUUGUUAUUAAUUAUAGCUUCUCACUGUGGUCGCAUGGGAGGCCUGGAUAAGGGGCAGCAACUGGUGAGCAGCCCCAACACCACAACACUGUUGAGAGCUGGGCUCAUCUGAAGCACAGCUGGACUCCGUGUGUUCCAAAUAUGCCUGUGUUCCAUGACAUGUGUGUGAGGGCGUGGCAGGAGGAGAGGUCUUGAGAUACCUUAUUUUUUGGAUAUUUUAUGUAUUUACAUUUUAAAUGUUAUCCCCUCUCCUGGUUGUGGGUGGACAUUCUUGAUGGAGAGACUAGAGAUGGAAUAAUGGAGAUUUUAUACAUCGGUAUAUAUUGAAUAUAUACAUUAUAUAUAAGGAAAUAUAUAAUAACAUAUGUAUUGGAGAUGGAGAAAAAUCGAUUUUAUUUAUAUAUACAUAUAUAAUACAUAUAUUUUAUAUAUAAGGAAUAUAAUACAUUAUAAUGUAUUAUAGCAUGCCAUGCUCCCAGAUUCUGGGUUUCAAUGUAAUUGACAGGCCCCAACUCUUACAGAUAGUCAAUUGCGAUCCACUCUGUCUCUUCUAUGUACAGAAUUUUCCCAAGAGUAUAUCAAAGGAUGAUAUUUAAGGGGGAAAACGGUUUUGCGUAUAAAAACAUGCAUGCAUUAAAUUAUGUGAGAUCUGAGAUCUGCUUUAAAAACGCCCAGGGAAAAUAGAAAGCUCCCGGUAACACACUGACUAUUGCACAUGGAUGGCGGACAAGUAUACUGAGACUCGCUCAUGAUGCUACUGUCUCUGGUUUUGUAUGUCUUAAAGUCCCCACUCACAGUUUUAAAAGGUAAAUGGCAAAGUCAAAAAUGCUGUCGGGGCUGAUCGAUAGCUCUGUGUUAGGACAGCUGCCUGGUGUGGAGGACUGAUCUAGAGCUCUGUGGUAGGACAGUUGCCUAGGAGGCAUAGGGCACUAGCCAGGUCAGGAAGAUGGAGGACUUGUGUGUCUGCCCGGAGACAACGAUGAAGGGGAAUGGACAAGUACAGUUAUGAACCCAGCCCUUUAGGUACUCGACGUCGUUGAAUUCUCCCCCUCACAGUUCUACUCAAUGACUGCAUCUUAACCAAGUGAUUGAAUUUUGCGACAUCAAUGUGGGACUGCGGAACAUGUUCGCCCCCUGGUGGAUACAUUAGGAAGUACAUGUUGUCACCAUUGGCUUCUUGUCUUAAAAAAAAAAACGUUCCAACAGGGACAGCAAUCAACUGUGGGACCUGGGACAGGAGAAUAGUCUGGACUUUUCAAAAUUGUCAACACCAUGAGAGACAAAAUGGGAGCCGGAAUUGCUGGAGCAGGCCUACUGCCUACCUACUUGGGAAACUGGGACUUAAGUACAAAACCUGUUUAGGGUUUAGGCUAUGAAGUGAGUUCAAGUUCGGCCAAGGCAGCCAGUGACACCCUGUCUCAAUCGCAAGUGAAAAAGAGGACUGGAGAAGUCACUCAGUGGUAGAGCCCCUGCCUAGAGCGACAAGCUGUAAGUUCGAUCCCCAGCACAAAGUAAGGUGCGGUUUCAAAAGUCAGGUGAAUUUUUAACUUAAACUGGGGAUAUAUGAUCUCUAUUACAAAGCGUAAUAUCUGGAUCCCAGGUUUAAAAAGAAAGGCUAAAACGGUUGUCAUGGAGCUGCGGAGGGCUCAGUGGGUGAUGUACUUGCUGCACGGGACCGGAGUGUGACCCCAGCACUGGUGAAAUGACGCUAUGUUUGGUCGUACACAUUUGUAAGCCCAGCACUGGCAGGCAAGGUGGACCCCGGCUAGUCCUUCCUGAUCAGCAAACUCUAGCCUGUGAGGGAUCCUGUGAGAACCAAACUAGGUGGUCCCUGGGGAGCCCAAAACCGACCUCCAAAUUCCACAUACAGGCACACACGUGCACCCCACACACACGCACAUGUUCUCACUCACAAACACGUGUAUACACAUGUACCCACCUACACGUGUACAUCCACAUACACAUGUGCGCCCCCUCACACAGAUGCCCCAACCCACAUCUUCCACAUGUAUGCACACGCCCAUGCACCCACCCACACAGUACAUCUCAUACACAUGGACACACACGGAGAAGUAUUGUGGAGAUAAUCCGAAAUUUUGACAAAUUAUAUAUUUAAUGAUGUUCACAAGUAAUGUUUUAAAAAACAUUUAACUACGACAAAAAAACCUCUGAGACUUUUUUAAGUCAUGUGUCAGUGUGUGGUUACAUGCACGUGUGUGCAGGUGACCACAGAGGUCAAAGGUAUCAUAUCUUUCCUUCAGGAUUUUCCUGGUACUGGCAUUCAUUCAUUUAUUCAACACAAAAUGCCAGGAGACAGUGCUAAACAGAAUGGCCACAGCCCUAGAAUCCACCCUCUGAUGGAGAAGAUAGAUGCUCGUUAACUCCUGGAGUCAGUCCAAUCUUCGUUAUUACCAAACCAGAUUAAAAAGCAAUGAGGGAAAGGAAACCGACCGAAGCCGAAAGGUAACAGCGAGUUUCCCCGAGCUGCAGUUCAAAGAGUAAAUAAGAGAUAAUAGCACACAGAGGCGAGAGUCUGCGCAGCAGACCUGCAUGGGAAGCGUGGCAUUACCCAUAGGUACGGGACAGGAGGAGCAAGGCCCAAGCCAGGACCCCAGCAUCCGUGUCAAACACCAGGCCCAGUGCCGUGACUCUGUGAUCCCAGUGCUGGCGAGGAAGGAUGCUUGGGGCUCGCUGGCUAGACCUUCCUGCUGAAUCCCUGAGCUCCAGGUUCAGUGAGAGACUCAGUGUCCUGGUUUGCUAUCUGUUGUGAUAAGAACCAUAACCAAAAACAACCUGGGAAGAAACGGGUCCAUUGGCUUAUGUGUUCUGAUCUCAAUCCGUCGCUGAGUAAAAUCUGGGCAGAACUCAAGCAGGAGCAGAGGCAGGCAGUGUGGAGGACUUCUGCUUACUCGAUUGCUCUCCACCGUUUGCUCAGUCUGCUUUCUUAUACCGCCCAAGACCACCAGCCCAGAGUGACACCACCACAGUGGGCUGGCUUUUCCCACAUCAGCCUUAAGUGGUGACUCAGCAAUCAAGAGCACUUUGUUCCUGAUCGUGGCGGCGCACACCUUUGAUGCAGCACUUGUGAGGCAGAGACAGGCGGACCUCUGUGAGUUCAAGGCCAGCCUGGACUCCGUAGAGAGUUCUAGAACCGCCUGGACUAUAUAGUGGGUUCUAGGACAGCCAGGGCUACACAGAGAGAAACCCUGUAUUUAAAAAGGAAAGAAAAAAAGCACAUGUUGCUUUUUUCGAGGACCCUGGUACACUUCUCCCACACGGUGGCUCACAGCUAUCUGUAAGUCUAGUUCCAGGGGAUCCAACACUCUCUUCUGACUUCUGAGGGCACAGCCAUUCAAACAGUACACUUGCAGACAUGCAGGCAAGCCAUCGUAUACAUAAAAUAAAAUAAAUCAAUCUUUAAAAAAUAAUAAAGAAAGAAAACGCCCACAAACGUGUCCCACAGGACAGCCUUGCCUGAGACCCUCCCUCCCCAGAUGAGUCUGGGUUUACGUCAAAUGAGUUUUGUGUUUGUUUCACUAAAACUAACCACUACGCCCUGUCUUGAAAAAAUAAAUAAAUAAAGUGAAGUGGACC